This 1389-nucleotide ribosomal RNA is filed under the name metagenome. RNAcentral describes it as "bacterial LSU rRNA". It matches the Rfam family "Bacterial large subunit ribosomal RNA", at positions 1537 to 2925 of the family's 2925-position model. The record is from RNAcentral.
AAAAUCCGGCGCACAUAUACCGAGGCCAAUGAUCGAGCCAGCUUGCUGGUGAAGUGACUGAACGAGGUUCCAGGAAAAGCCACUAAGCUUCAGCUACACACGACCGUACCGCAAACCGACACUGGUGCGCGAGAUGAGUAUUCUAAGUCGCUUGAGAGAACUCAGGAGAAGGAACUCGGCAAAUUGACACCGUAACUUCGGAAGAAGGUGUGCCCUAUUAGUGUGAAGUGAACAACGGAGCAUGAAUGGGUUGCAAAAAAUCGGUGGCUGCGACUGUUCAUUAAAAACACAGCACUCUGCAAACACGAAAGUGGACGUAUAGGGUGUGACGCCUGCCCGGUGCUGGAAGAUUAAAUGAUGGGGUGCAAGCUCUUGAUUGAAGUCCCAGUAAACGGCGGCCGUAACAAUAACGGUCCUAAGGUAGCGAAAUUCCUUGUCGGGUAAGUUCCGACCUGCACGAAUGGCGUAACGAUGGCCACACUGUCUCCUCCUGAGACUCAGCGAAGUUGAAAUGUUUGUGAUGAUGCAAUCUCCCCGCGGAAAGACGGAAAGACCCCAUGAACCUUUACUGUAGCUUUGUAUUGGACUUUGAACAGAUCUGUGUAUAGGUGGGAGGCUUUGAAGCAGGGUCGCUAGAUCUUGUGGAGCCAACGUUGAAAUACCACCCUGGUGUGUUUGAGGUUCUAACCUAGGUCCAUUAUCUGGAUCGGGGACAGUGCAUGGUAGGCAGUUUGACUGGGGCGGUCUCCUCCCAAAGCGUAACGGAGGAGUUCGAAGGUACGCUAGUUACGGUCGGACAUCGUGACGAUAGUGCAAUGGCAUAAGCGUGCUUAACUGCGAGACUGACAAGUCGAGCAGAUGCGAAAGCAGGACAUAGUGAUCCGGUGGUUCUGUAUGGAAGGGCCAUCGCUCAACGGAUAAAAGGUACUCUGGGAUAACAGGCUGAUACCGCCCAAGAGUUCAUAUCGACGGCGGUGUUUGGCACCUCGAUGUCGGCUCAUCUCAUCCUGGGGCUGUAGCCGGUCCCAAGGGUAUGGCUGUUCGCCAUUUAAAGAGGUACGUGAGCUGGGUUUAAAACGUCGUGAGACAGUUUGGUCCCUAUCUUCCGUGGGCGCUGCAGAUUUGAGGAAGCCUGCUCCUAGUACGAGAGGACCGGAGUGGACACACCUCUGGUGUAUCGGUUGUCACGCCAGUGGCAUUGCCGAGUAGCUAAGUGUGGAAGAGAUAACCGCUGAAAGCAUCUAAGCGGGAAACUCGUUUCAAGAUGAGAUCUGCCGGGGCCUUGAGCCCCCUAAAGAGUCGUUCAAGACCAGGACGUUGAUAGGUCAGGUGUGGAAGCGCAGUAAUGCGUUAAGCUAACUGAUACUAAUUGCUCGUGCGGCUUGACCC